This is a non-coding RNA of Globicephala melas (long-finned pilot whale), 1141 nucleotides long. The record is from the annotation of a RefSeq genome assembly. Lineage: Eukaryota; Metazoa; Chordata; Mammalia; Artiodactyla; Delphinidae.
AUGGGCUCCAUGCUCCUCUGCUGUGUGGUCUUUUGUCUCCUGGGAACAGGCUCCAUGGAUGUUGGUAUUACCCAGACUCCAAGGAAUAGGAUAGCAAACACAGGAAAGAGCACUGUACUGGAAUGUUCUCAGACUAAGGGUCAUGAGUCUAUGUACUGGUACCGACAAGACCCAGGACUGGGGCUCCGGCAGAUCUACUACUCCCACGGUGUCGAUGAAAUUAACAAAGGAGAUGUCUCCGAUGGGUACAGAGUCUCUCGUAAGAAGCAGGCGAAGUUCUCCCUCUUCCUAGAGCCCGCCACCCCCAACCAGACAGCCCUUUACUUCUGUGCCACUGUGAGCACUGACACUCAGUACUUCGGGCCGGGCACGCGGCUCCUGGUGCUAGACGACCUGAGCAAGGUGACCCCACCCAAGGUGGCUGUGUUCGAGCCGUCAGCAGCAGAGAUCUCCCGGACCCAGAAGGCCACGCUCGUGUGCCUGGCCACGGGCUUCUACCCCGACCACGUGGAGCUGAGCUGGUGGGUGAACGGGAAGCAGGUCGAGACGGGGGUCAGCACGGACCCUCAGCCCCACAAGGAGGACCCCAGCCGCAACGACUCCAGCUACUGUCUGAGCAGCCGGCUGAGGGUCUCCGCCAGCUUCUGGUACAACCCUCGCAACCUCUUCCGCUGCCAAGCCUGGUUCCACGGGCUCUCGGACGAGGACGAGUGGAAGCAGGACAGGCCCAAACCCGUCACCCAGACCAUCAGUGCCGAGGUCCGGGGCCGAGCAGACUGUGGCCUCACCUCGGCGUCCUACCAGCAAGGGGUCCUGUCUGCCACCAUCCUCUAUGAGAUCCUGCUGGGGAAGGCCACCCUGUAUGCUGUGCUGGUCAGCGCCCUGGUGCUGAUGGCCAUGGUCAAGAGAAAGGAUUCCUGAAGCCAGCUUAGAGGUGGAGCCAGGAGCUUCCAGCCUGUUAUGGCCCUGGUGUGAAUUCUGCUUUUUCCAUUCCUACCCAGUGCUUCAGAAGAGCUGCUCUCAUCUCUCUACGCACCCCAGUAUCUACCCCUGUGUGCAUGCACCCAAACACUCAUGACCAAAAUCUCCCUAGCCCAAGGGGGACCCUGGCGGGCCUGAACGGAUUCAGCCAAUAAAAAUG